GGUUAUAGAAACCCUGAUUGAUAGCCAGCUGGUCAAGAAGUAUAGGUGACAACCUGAGACUUGCAAUCGGCAUUUGGAUUGGAGGGGUGGCAGUCUUAUAGGACUGAGCCCUUAACCUGUGGGGUCUGACAGUAUCUCCAGGUAGUGUCAGAACUGAGCUAAACUGUGGGACACCCACCUGGUUUUGGAGGAUCGCUUGAAGCGUGGAAACAGGCCCCACACAUUGGUGAAUGGAAGCGGAGUGUAGCGGUAGCAUGUGAGAAAGAAGAAAUGCAGGAGUGUUUUCUUACGCAGUUAUUUUAAACUACUUUUGGACAAUUUUUUAAUAGAGAAUAGCAAUAGAUAACUAACACGUCAAGCGAACGCAGGAAGCUUCAUGAAGGGGCAGGGGAGAGAACCCGGGCAGGUGUGACACCCAGAGACCCACCACCACUUGGUAGACAGACCAGCAUUUGUGGGGAUGGCGCCCUGUGCAUUCAGGCGUGCCCUUGCGUGUGCUGUGGGUGGUAUUGUUCUCCUCGUUGUGCAUGUGAGGAAAUGGGCUCAGUAGGUCAGACCCUGACCAGGGCUGCAGGCUGGUAGGUGGUGGAGCCAGGACUCAAGCCUAGCUCGUCUGCCCUUGUCCGUGCUCUCCCACUCUUCCACGCCGCUUCAGUGAUCUUGGUGACCUUGAGUAAGCCCCUGUCCUUCUGAGAGUUUUUCGCAGAACUCGAACAGGUCCCUUGCGUGUCCAUGAGAAGACCGAGCCUCAUGCUCCCUGGCCCUGGGUGCUCUGAUGCAGGGACGUGAGCACUGCCCCAACAGCCUGUGCUGUGUCGGGUGCCUGGAACAGGGCAGCCCUGCGUGCUGAAGAUGUAGUGUGCCAAGGAUGAGGGCCUGCAGUUCGGCUUUGGGGGCCCCGUGCAAACUUCAGAGCCCUCAGCAGCACUCCCCACACCACCCCUGCUUUCCCCGCUGGCCACACAGACGAACAUACCCCGGCCUGCUUGCCAUUAUGCUGUCAUCAGCAACCCUGUCCUUGGCCUAGCCCCUCUCUUCACCUCCCCCCACACAGAUGCCAUCACUGGGCAUUUGUUCAAGAAACAUUGCUCAGGGUGACAAAUCAAAGUGAUGAGCCACGCUGUCACCUGGAGCCUCAGGCGUGAGGCUCUCACCACUUACAGGGACAUCAUGCGGGAAGUACUGGCCGAGGGGCAAACCCAGCCCUGGGGUGGGGAGAGUCAGAUCGGGAGCAUAGGGCUGGAAACAAGGAUCUGGAAAAGUCUUGGGAGGUUGGCUGCUUAGCAGUUGCCAGAAGUUCCUAUCUGUUUCGUGGGGCCUUGGGCAUCACUAUUGACAUCCAAACUCUUUCUUCCACACCUCCUUCUGCAGGCCAGGACAGAUGCCACUCCGGAGUGCCUCCUCCACAGCUCCAUCCAGGCCCUCGCUGGGACACUCCUCAGCCACAUCUCUCUGAUCCGCGGCUUCCAUCGGAGCCAUGACCCCAGCCCCCACCUCACUGCCCUCCUCACAGCUCAUACGCAGUGAAUCCAGUCAACCAGCUCAAGACCAAUGAACACUUGGCUGAAGAUUCUAGAAAUUGGAGAGGACACUUGUGACUGAGCAGCAUGUCUGGCAAUGAGACAUCAAGAGAGUCCUGACGCUGAUGGAGGCCUUCACCUGUUGACAGGAUGGCUCUGUGUCAUCCCAGAGAGGGAUGCCAUCACCAGAGAGCACGUCAUAAGGACAAAACACUACUUCCUUCCUUCUUCUCUCAUGCUGCAGCUUGGGGGUCCCACCUUUCGGUGCAGCUAAAUGGCCACGUUCAGCUCGACCCUAUGUGACCCUUGAAGUGUACCUCCUUUGUUCAGAGACCAAUUCGGAAUCGGGCAUGAUCCGACCCUGGCCAGAGUGACCGUGCCACUCUGCUUGGCGACAGAGUUUGCCCAUCAAAUGAGUAAUGAAAAUAAGGUGGCAGCAGACGUGUUGAGUGAAUGAAAAGAACGAGUGCCAGGCACGGGCCGCAUCGCAUGGGCAGCAGCUUCCCGAACCUGCCAAGCCCUCUCCCGGCUCGCUGGCAGGAACGCCGCCUCUCUCCUCCGUGCCUCGGCCUGGUGAGGAAAUGAAGGCUCCAGGAGGUGAAGCGACUUGUCCAAGGACUCAGGUGGCUGGAGGUGAAGUCAAAAGUCAAACCAGGCAUGGCCCACUCCCAAGUCCAAGUGUUUUCCUGUUACAUCAGGCAGCCCUCCGACAGGACGACUCUGUCUGGGCCUGCCCAGUCCCUGAGUCCAGGUGGUCUUGGGGUUCACCUGGGUCACAGGACAGGGACACUCUGGCCAUGAGGUGGUCAUCGUUCACUUUUCCAGCCAGUCUACCGGCCAAUGCUCAUCAAGCUCCCUCCUCGGGCCCAGGCCAGGGGGUGUAAACAGCAUCCAGAAGGCACGAUUUCUCAAGAUGCUUCAUCAAAUGAAAGACGGGUUUUUUAGCCUCUAGAUUUACAACGUGCCAGCGAAGGGCUGCAAGCUGGCCCGGCGGACACGCAGGCAAAGCAGAAUGGGAAGAGACCCCUGGCAGGAGGCUUGCGGGACGAUGGUCUGUGCCCGUUUGAGGAGGAUUCAGUGCCAACACUGAGGGGCAUGGCCAGACAGGAGAGGGCCAGGCUAGAGAAGCAGGUUGGACUGCUUUCGAGGGUGGGGUUUGGCAGGUAACUGAGGAGCGAUUAAGAGGGAGAAAUAAAGAAGAGUGUCAGAAGGAGGAGGGGAGAAAGAGUGAGGGCUGCUCAGUAUAAUACCAAAUAGAUACCUUCCGUCUAGCGAGCACUCCAGGGCCAGGCACUGUGAUGAGGGUUUUGCAUAUCCUACAAGGUAAAUGUUAAUAUUCUUAUUUUACAGAUGAGGAAACCAAGGUUCAGAGAGAUUAAGUACUUCAGCUGAAGACACACAGCUGGUAAAAAUCAGUCUGACUUCAAACCCCAUCCUCUUAACCACUGAAAUAUCUGCUGAGUGAAGAAGUGAGAGAUCUUGUGGCGGAACGUGCUGUCAGGGGUGCUGGAAAUGGGAAGCUGGCUCCACCUCCCCUCUGGACGGCUGGUAUCUUUGGAAAUAGAGAUGCUCUGGAGCUGAUGGCUUUUCCUGUAAUGGUUUCGGCCUGUUUGGGCUUUCACACUUCAGACUACAGCCUCAGCCACUGAUGUUUGCUCACUUAUCUACUCUUUUUACAGGAAAAAUGCCAAUGAAUUUUUAAUCAAAUUGAGCUUGAGUGUUUGACCAGUGAAUCAGAAAGGCUUCCAAGUCUUAGGAUGGUGGUGGUUGUGGGGGAGAAAUUCAUCCCCAUCUGCCCGGAAGGAGGCGGUGCUGCCCGGAGUGGGCUCCUGGGGCUCCCCCCACCCGACACACACCUCCAGCCCCACCCUAGGGUCUGGCACAGGAGGGCGGACCCAUCCCACAGGCCUUCCUGGAGGCUCGCCCAGCUCUCUGGGUAAUCGUGUCUCUCAGGGGGCAGCAGCUGGUGCGGGCGCUGCUGGGGGACAAAAUCCAGCUGCAUGAGGAUGGUCUGGCCCGAGAGGUGGUCACACUUCUCCUGUGAGGGGCUCUGUCCCGUGCUCCUGCCCUCCUCCGUCCCCUCCCCCUCC
Equus caballus (horse) is the source of this 3610-nucleotide long non-coding RNA. RefSeq lists it as uncharacterized. Lineage: Eukaryota; Metazoa; Chordata; Mammalia; Perissodactyla; Equidae. The record is from RefSeq and is a predicted model, not a curated record.